UACGGGGGGGGCAAGCGUUGUUCGGAAUUACUGGGCGUAAAGGGCUCGUAGGCGGCCAACUAAGUCAGACGUGAAAUCCCUCGGCUUAACCGGGGAACUGCGUCUGAUACUGGAUGGCUUGAGUUCGGGAGAGGGAUGCGGAAUUCCAGGUGUAGCGGUGAAAUGCGUAGAUAUCAGGAGGAACACCGGUGGCGAAGGCGGGUCUCUGGGCCGUAACUGACGCUGAGACGCGAAAGCGUGGGGAGCAAACAGG
This 253-nucleotide ribosomal RNA is filed under the name uncultured bacterium. Its description in RNAcentral is "partial 16S ribosomal RNA". It matches the Rfam family "Bacterial small subunit ribosomal RNA", at positions 524 to 776 of the family's 1533-position model. The record is from RNAcentral.